ACAGCAUAGAGAGUACAAAAGCCAGCAGUGACAAGGCAGCACAUUUCAAUGAAAACACUUACAACACAUUUCAAUGAAAGGUUUGAAAACUGCAGCAAAUCAUUUCAACAAGAUUAAAAAGGAAACGGAUGUUGUUCACACAAGUGGUGAUAUUUUGAACAAGCGACCUAGUUAUUCGCAUGUGAAAAAAAAGCAAUGGAAAAUAUGACAAACAUCAAGUGACCUUUAUAUAUUUUUUCUGUCUCUAGAUGUGUUGCUUUUACAUUUUAUGAAUAUUUUUUUUGGAUGUUCAUAUAUACUUUAAUAAAAUCAUAAUACAAUGUU
Acipenser ruthenus (sterlet) is the source of this 324-nucleotide long non-coding RNA. RefSeq lists it as uncharacterized. NCBI's taxonomy places the organism in Eukaryota, Metazoa, Chordata, Actinopteri, Acipenseriformes, Acipenseridae. The record is from RefSeq and is a predicted model, not a curated record. The transcript is spliced from 2 exons.